Molecule: microRNA precursor, 89 nt
Filed under: Canis lupus familiaris (dog)
Lineage: Eukaryota; Metazoa; Chordata; Mammalia; Carnivora; Canidae
Also listed under: 1 other name
Description: mir-8799 microRNA precursor family
Rfam family: mir-8799 microRNA precursor family
Source: Rfam by way of RNAcentral
CGGGGGAGCGCAGGGUCCUGGGCGUGUCCCCCGCGCCCUGGGCUCCAGGGCCUGCGCUGCUGGAAUUGCGCUCCCGGCCGUGGCUCCCG